UCCCUAUGCCUGGCACCUCCCGAA
This 24-nucleotide non-coding RNA is filed under the name Mus musculus (house mouse). Lineage: Eukaryota; Metazoa; Chordata; Mammalia; Rodentia; Muridae. The record is from RNAcentral.